Bombina bombina (fire-bellied toad) is the source of this 72-nucleotide non-coding RNA. Lineage: Eukaryota; Metazoa; Chordata; Amphibia; Anura; Bombinatoridae. The record is from the annotation of a RefSeq genome assembly.
UCCCAUAUGGUCCAGUGGUUAGGAUUCCUGGUUUACACCCAAGCAGCCUGGGUUCGACUUCCAGUAUGGGAA